Molecule: unclassified non-coding RNA, 811 nt
Filed under: Hevea brasiliensis (rubber tree)
Lineage: Eukaryota; Viridiplantae; Streptophyta; Magnoliopsida; Malpighiales; Euphorbiaceae
Source: RNAcentral
UGCAUUGGGCGAGCUAGUCUUCCGUACCUUCCUCCCAGUGACGUCCCUGGAUGGUUCUUGUAUUCCCGUCGGAGCCCAUAUAUAUAUGGGUUCCGGUGUUAUGGUCACUUCUGGUCCUCCCCUGUGCGGUUUCCCUCCAUGUUAGUGUUUGUUAACCUACAAAUCUGCACUCUCUCUAAGUAAGUUAGAUAGCAGAGCUCCGUUCAAGCUUUUCAUCCGUCACUGUCCGCUAUCCGUGCAGGUAAUAGGUAUAGGUAAGGACCUUGAAGCAUGGCCAAGCAUCAUCCUGAUUUAAUUAUGUGCCGGAAGCAGCCGGGAAUUGCCAUUGGACGACUUUGUGAGAAAUGUGAUGGGAAAUGUGUAAUAUGCGACUCCUACGUGCGUCCUUGUACACUUGUGCGAGUUUGUGAUGAGUGCAAUUAUGGAUCCUUCCAAGGUCGAUGUGUUAUAUGUGGAGGGGUUGGCAUCUCAGAUGCCUACUAUUGCAAAGAGUGUACACAGCAGGAGAAAGAUAGAGAUGGGUGUCCAAAAAUUGUUAAUUUAGGGAGUGCCAAAACAGAUCUGUUCUACGAACGCAAGAAAUAUGGUUUUAAGAAAAGAUGAUGAGCCAUGCCAUGGGCUGUGCUUCUUGUGUGCCAUUGUUUUCUAGACAAGAAGACACCCAAUUUAAACUGUUGUAACAAUCUCUUGAGGGUUUGAGUUUAUAUUUACUGAAGUUAUGAUGAACUGCUAUUGAUUAGAACUUACUUAUAAUGUUGAACAUGGUUGUUUACCUGAACUGACACUAUUGCUUAUAAUCUAAUGUGCUUGC